RNAcentral lists this ribosomal RNA (131 nucleotides) under Amblyomma americanum (Lone Star tick). RNAcentral's name for it is "partial 12S ribosomal RNA". Lineage: Eukaryota; Metazoa; Arthropoda; Arachnida; Ixodida; Ixodidae. The record is from RNAcentral.
CAAUUAAAUUUGGUUUAAUAAUAAAAAAUUAUAUAUUUUUUAUGAACUUUAUAAAAAAUUUUACAGCAGAAAAUAAAAUUUAUUUAAUAAUAAAAAAUUAUUGAAAUUUAUAAUAAAUCUUAGCUAAUUUU